Molecule: ribosomal RNA, 253 nt
Filed under: uncultured bacterium
Lineage: Bacteria
Description: partial 16S ribosomal RNA
Rfam family: Bacterial small subunit ribosomal RNA
Source: RNAcentral
UACAGAGGUCCCAAGCGUUGUUCGGAUUCACUGGGCGUAAAGGGUGCGUAGGCGGUCGGGUAAGUCUGAUGUGAAAUCUCACAGCUUAACUGUGAAACUGCAUUGGAUACUAUCCGGCUAGAGGAAUGGAGGGGAGACUGGAAUACUUGGUGUAGCAGUGAAAUGCGUAGAUAUCAAGUGGAACACCAGUGGCGAAGGCGAGGCUCUGGACAUUUCCUGACGCUUAGGCACGAAAGCCAGGGGAGCAAACGGG